GACGAACGCUGGCGGCGUGCUUAACACAUGCAAGUCGAACGGAAAGGCCCUGCUUUUGUGGGGUGCUCGAGUGGCGAACGGGUGAGUAACACGUGAGUAACCUGCCCUUGACUUUGGGAUAACUUCAGGAAACUGGGGCUAAUACCGGAUAGGAACUCCUGCUGCAUGGUGGGGGUUGGAAAGUUUCGGCGGUCGGGGAUGGACUCGCGGCUUAUCAGCUUGUUGGUGGGGUAGUGGUUUACCAAGGCAUUGACGGGUAGCCGGCCUGAGAGGGUGACCGGCCACAAUGGGACUGAGGUACGGCCCAGACUCCUACGGGAGGCAGCGGUGGGGAAUAUUGCACAAUGGGCGGAAGCCUGAUGCAGCAACGCCGCGUGCGUGAUGACGGCCUUCGGGUUGUAAACCGCUUUCGCCUGUGACGAAGCGUGAGUGACGGUAAUGAGUAAAGAAGCACCGGCUAACUACGUG
RNAcentral lists this ribosomal RNA (468 nucleotides) under uncultured bacterium. RNAcentral's name for it is "partial 16S ribosomal RNA". It matches the Rfam family "Bacterial small subunit ribosomal RNA", at positions 28 to 507 of the family's 1533-position model. The record is from RNAcentral.